CACUGCAGGCACCCGUGGAGCCGCACGGCCACCGAUCACGCCAACAGCCAUGGGCAAACUGAGACUGUGUUGGGAACUGGAGAUCAGCAGCUGCUUGAUCCCCGAAACAUGUGGAAGCCUCGGCAAUUCUUCCGAGAUGAAAGCACUGCGAACAGGCUGCCUGGAAGGGAAGCUGGACGUGCUGAUUUGAAGUGACUGGGAUUGCCCCUGGCUCUUGUUUUAGAAAGGAUGCCACAUUUGCCAUUUUGUGUUCCCUUGGUGGCACAGAGAGCUGUACCACUCACCCCCCCCUGCUGAAUUUCUGACCCGCAGAGGCUUUCAGCUGCCCGUUCUCCCCACGAGGCUGUGGCUGCUUCAGGCAUUGCCUGCUGCCCAAAGCCCUCCUGAGCCACAGCUCCUUGCACAGCUGCCCACAGAGCUGCACAAAGAGACAGAGAUUUGAAAUGAAUGCACACGUGGCCACUACAGCUUGAGCCUCAUCUUCCUUCAUUCCUCGCUUCCUCAGUACGUGAGUUAUCCCAGCAAACCUAUCACAACUUCAAAUCAAUCCAGGAGCAGAAAUAAUGGGCAAAUGCAGGAUGCCCUUGUUUAAAGGCAGGAAAAUGCACAGCAAAUGCUGAGGUGCUACUGAAAUUUUUCUCACCUUGUCAGAUGCAUCCAAAUCCCAGUUAAUCAAUUUGACUUCCUGGAUGAUGAGUGGAGAGGUGUAAAUGAGAGGUCUCCGCUGUGUCUUCUGGUCUCUAAUGCUUUGUCAAGGGCUCAAGGUGGCAGGAUUCCCGUUACAGACUCUUGCUGGCAGAGUUGCAGCUCUCUGCCCUCAGAUCCACAAGGCACUUGUAGAUAGGCUUGGUUUUAAGACUGAAAAGUGAACAAGUUUUGAACUUCUCAUCAAAGGCAACACAACUCCAUGUGAAUGCAGAGAGAAGUGUGCAUCUAAAUGCAGCUCCUGGAUGGUCUCAGCUGAACUUGAGGGUCUCCUGCUUACUGUGUCUGUAUUUUCACAGACAGACUAAAAGCAAUACGCACAGGUUGGUGCACCGAAGAGCAGACUGCUUGCAGAGGUGAAGAAGUGUACAGUAUCAGUAUAUGUACAUGACACAGUAAAAAUCGCCUACGUUCUCCAUUCAUUGUCAAGUCAUUUUUGUUAGCAGUGAGUUUUCAGUUAAGGAAAAGAUGGUUUGGGUUUCUCUUUUCUGUCCUAUAUUCCAACAGAGAUUAUGAAGAAUGACCAGAUUUAGCACCUACCUAAGAAGAAAACUUACCCUAAGGCGCGUUAAAGGCUUGGAGACUUCUGGAGCCAAAAGUCUACCACAGCAAAGGAUACUGCAUUCUUCAGCAAUGUCAGGGUGGCUGCUCUUCCCAGAAAUGGGGGCUGUCCCUGUGGACUGCAGAGUGCCUACCAGUGCAGUGAGCUGCGCUGGCGUACCCAGAGACUCCAACAGGACUUUGCUGUCUGCCAGUGUUAUCUGCUGGUUUCAUACCACAAUGGAUAUCAUGUGGCCAGAUGUCAGAUGGGAACCGAACACACUGUCAAUGGCAGUCUGUGUGAUUUUAAGGAGAUAAAAAGGAAAAAAGAAAAAAAUAAAGAAAAAAAUAAAGGCUCAAGAUGCAGACCCAAGAGGACUAGCUAGACAAUACCCAUCAGCUCAGGGAGAGGGAAGAUUUACAAUGUCAUAUUGGUUUUCUUUGUUCUGUCACCCAAAUCUUUCAGCUGAAAAUUCAAGGACUAUCAAAUCCAUUUUAAAGCCUUUCUUUUCCAGCCACUCUGAAGUUCCAUUAUUAGUAGCUAUUACGUACUUGCCAUUUGUGUUUUGAAUAAUAAAGUCUAAAUUGUAACAGUCCACAGAAAAUCAAAUGCAA
Long non-coding RNA from Anas platyrhynchos (mallard), 1860 nucleotides. RefSeq lists it as uncharacterized. The record is from RefSeq and is a predicted model, not a curated record. NCBI's taxonomy places the organism in Eukaryota, Metazoa, Chordata, Aves, Anseriformes, Anatidae.